Molecule: ribosomal RNA, 319 nt
Filed under: uncultured bacterium
Lineage: Bacteria
Description: bacterial SSU rRNA
Rfam family: Bacterial small subunit ribosomal RNA
Source: RNAcentral
AGCGAACGUUAGCGGCGGGCCUAACACAUGCAAGUCGAACGCGAAAGGUCUUCGGACUGAUUAGAGUGGCGCACGGGUGAGUAACACGUAGGUAAUCUACCCUUUGGCGGGGGAUAACGUUCCGAAAGGAGCGCUAAUACCGCAUAAGACCACGGAGUCUCCGGACGCUGUGGGAAAAGGUGGCCUCUUCUUGAAAGCUAUCACCGGAGGAUGAGCCUGCGUCCCAUCAGCUAGUGUAAGUAUGGCUUACCAAGGCAAAGACGGGUAGCUGGUUUGAGAGAAUGAUCAGCCACACUGGCACUGGAACACGGGCCAGACU